GAGUUUGAUCGUGGCUCAGGACGAACGCUGGCGGCGUGGAUUAGGCAUGCAAGUCGCGCGACAGACAGUCUUCGGAUUGUUAUGGAGCGGCGAACGGGUGAGUAACGCGUGAACAAUCUGUCCCUACAUUCCGGAUAAUUGGCCGAAAGGCCUUGUAAUACGGGGGAGGGUGUUGUGGAGGCAUCUUCAUAACAAGGAAGGCGCAAGCCGUGCAGGGAGGAGUUCGCGGCCUAUCAGUUAGUUGGUGGGGUAACGGCCUACCAAGACGACGACGGGUAGCUGGUCUGAGAGGAUGGUCAGCCACAUUGGAACUGAGAUACUGUCCAGACUCCUACGGGAGGCUGCAGUCGAGAAUCUUGGGCAAUGCACGAAAGUGUGACCCAGCGACGCCGCGUGGAGGAUGAAGGUCCUUGGAUUGUAAACUCCUUUUAUUGGGGAAGAAUGCCCGUAAGGGUUUGACGGUACCCAAUGAAUAAGCCACGGCUAACUACGUGCCAGCCGCCGCAGUAAC
This 511-nucleotide ribosomal RNA is filed under the name uncultured Lentisphaera sp. RNAcentral's name for it is "bacterial SSU rRNA". It matches the Rfam family "Bacterial small subunit ribosomal RNA", at positions 9 to 524 of the family's 1533-position model. The record is from RNAcentral. Lineage: Bacteria; Pseudomonadati; Lentisphaerota; Lentisphaeria; Lentisphaerales; Lentisphaeraceae.